RNAcentral lists this ribosomal RNA (425 nucleotides) under uncultured bacterium. RNAcentral describes it as "partial 16S ribosomal RNA". It matches the Rfam family "Bacterial small subunit ribosomal RNA", at positions 354 to 796 of the family's 1533-position model. The record is from RNAcentral.
GUGAGGAAUUUUGCGCAAUGGGGGCAACCCUGACGCAGCGACGCCGCGUGGAGGACGAAGUCUUUCGGGAUGUAAACUCCUGUCAGUGGGGACGAUAAUGACGGUACCCACAGAGGAAGCACCGGCUAACUCCGUGCCAGCAGCCGUGGUAAGACGGAGGGUGCAAGCGUUGUUCGGAAUUACUGGGCGUAAAGCGUAUGUAGGCGGCAAGUUAAGUUCAAUGUUAAAGCCCACGGCUCAACCGAGGAGAUGCAUUGAAUACUGGCUAGCUAGAGGGUGUUAGAGGAAGACGGAAUUCCCAGUGUAGCGGUGAAAUGCGUAGAUAUUGGGAGGAACAUCGGUAGCGAAAGCGGUCUUCUGGGACAUACCUGACGCUGAGGUACGAAAGCGUGGGGAGCAAACGGGAUUAGAUACCCUGGUAGUCC